RNAcentral lists this ribosomal RNA (497 nucleotides) under uncultured bacterium. RNAcentral's name for it is "partial 16S ribosomal RNA". It matches the Rfam family "Bacterial small subunit ribosomal RNA", at positions 28 to 507 of the family's 1533-position model. The record is from RNAcentral.
GGUGAACGCUGGCGGCGUGCCUAAUACAUGCAAGUCGAGCGAACAGACGAGGAGCUUGCUCCUCUGACGUUAGCGGCGGACGGGUGAGUAACACGUGGAUAACCUACCUAUAAGACUGGGAUAACUUCGGGAAACCGGAGCUAAUACCGGAUAAUAUAUUGAACCGCAUGGUUCAAUAGUGAAAGACGGUUUUGCUGUCACUUAUAGAUGGAUCCGCGCCGCAUUAGCUAGUUGGUAAGGUAACGGCUUACCAAGGCAACGAUGCGUAGCCGACCUGAGAGGGUGAUCGGCCACACUGGAACUGAGACACGGUCCAGACUCCUACGGGAGGCAGCAGUAGGGAAUCUUCCGCAAUGGGCGAAAGCCUGACGGAGCAACGCCGCGUGAAUGAUGAAGGUCUUCGGAUCGUAAAACUCUGUUAUUAGGGAAGAACAAAUGUGUAAGUAACUAUGCACGUCUUGACGGUACCUAAUCAGAAAGCCACGGCUAACUACGUG